Molecule: unclassified non-coding RNA, 3001 nt
Filed under: Leishmania donovani
Lineage: Eukaryota; Euglenozoa; Kinetoplastea; Trypanosomatida; Trypanosomatidae
Description: gene:LdHU3.04.1060(CDS-product:hypothetical_prote in_conserved)
Source: RNAcentral
CGGCGCAACUCGUGUCUCUGCCUGAGAGGGCGUGAGAAUUUCGCGUGCAUGCAGUGCCUUUUACUGGUCGCACAUGCUUCUCGAAGUCCUUGCGGAGUGAGGUUAGGGGCAGCCAGCGCAGACUCAUUGCGUGCGCACACACGUUGAUGCAGCACAGCGGCCACACGCACGUAUUUUUCUUUUUUUUUUGUCUAGCAAGCCUUCUGAGCGGGAUGAGCGCUCCGCCACCGCGGCCGCACUCGAUGUGGGCGCGCCGAGGGCACAGCACACACGAUGCCGCCGCCGCUCUCUUUGAGGAGAUGAGUCAUGCGGCGCGGACGGGAGGCGGAGCCGGUGCUUUACCAACGUCCUUGCCGAUAGCGGCACCGCGGUCGCAUGUGCAGCAGCACUUGCCUGGCAGCCGCUGCGGGGGUACCGCAGCUGAGGCCUCGUCAUCGCAGCCCGCCUGCAGCGCAGGCCUGUCGCCUGCGGCAACGACAAUCACGACUGUCACGUCGCCCAGCGGCGACCACACCUCGCCGCCACUAGCGCUGCCCACCCCCCUUCCGACGCCGUCCGCGGCGACUGCGUACUUCUACGUGCAUCGCCUCGGCUCUUGGCCGUCGGCUGUAGGCCAGCACCACGUGAAUGGUCACAGCCGCGGCGGGAGUGAUCCGGCAGCGGCGACACACGCAUGGGGCAUGCCGACGUCAUCCCCGACGUACUUCCCGCCAUCGUCGCGGAGCAACGUGUUUCCAGGCCUUGUGAGCGCCGCUACCACUGGUGUCCCGAUGGACGUCGAAAACGGCGCCGGCCACAACAGUCCGAGCUCUCUGUCAACGUCGUCGCAGUCUCUCACUGCCUCCACUGGACUCGGCGGCGGCGCUGGAAGCGGUGCAGUGGGGGGAUCGCAUCUCACGACGCCACCUACCACGCGUGGCACGCCUGCUGCUGCUGCUACGCCGGUAGCGGCGCCUGUGUAUGUAUGGCACAGCUCGAGCUCGAUGGCCGGAGCGGCACCAUGGCUGCGCUUGCAUCGGCCCGCCAGCGCCGCGGCAGCCUGCGUAGGAGGGCGACGGGGAUCGGCAGCACCAGCGGCCGGGACCGGCGGAGGGACCGGCGGCGUGGGGACACCACAGAAUCCAGGCAGCAGCGGGGCCGGCAUGCUGGCGUCGCCGCCGCACCUCAGCACCGUCUUUGGAGCAACCGACGAAGACGCCGCUCAGCGGAGCUCCACUUGCAGUGUGAGCGGGAGGGACACGGGUGGUAGUGUACCAGCCGUGGCAAGAGGCCUCUCGCAGCCGCACCACCAGCAAGAGCUUCACGCCGAUCCUGUCGCCGGCAGCGGCGCUUCGGGUUCGCUGUCUGCGGCCCUACCCCUGACCCUCGUCCCGCCGUUCCGCUUCGCACGCGUGGAGUCCGGGGUGUACCGCGGCGCCUACCCCGUCCUGCGGAACUUCCCAUACAUUCGGCGGCUGCGACUGCGCACGAUGGUGUCGCUCAUUCCUGAGCCGCCGACGUACGACCUCAAGUGCUUCGCGGAGGCGGAGCACAUCCAGCUGCACCACAUUCACGCCGAGCGCGCCAAGGGCGAGGUGCAGCUGUUGCCGUCGGAGCUGAGCGAGGCGCUGCAGCUCAUCAUGAACAAGGAUAUGCACCCCCUGUACAUCCACUGUCUCGACGGCCGCCACGUCACCGGUCUCGUCAUCAUGGCGCUGCGCAAGCUGCUGCAGUGGGAUGCAAAGGUCGCCAACGCCGAGUUUCAGCGUUUCACCCGCGAGGUGCAGGAUGAGGCGGCGUUCAUCGCUGACUACACUGGGCCUCUCCUAGUGCCACCGCACUUGCCGGUGUGGCUCUGGGGUGGGUCCAUCUACGACGCAGCCACUGGACAGCAGAAACGUCUGCCUGCAGCUAUACGACUGCGCUUGUCCACCGCGGUGUCUGGUGGAGCCGGCAGCGCUGCGGCCACAGCGGGAGGUGUGGCCGCAGCACCUGGAGCCGGGCUCGGUCGCGUUUCUGCGUCCGCAUCCGGUGGAACAUCAUCGGCCACCGGUACUGGCCCCGUGAAUGGCCCGCAGAGUGCCACGAGCGCUGCCGUUAGCCACAAACCGAAGGGGGGGACGUUGCGCGGCCCUAGUGGCGAUCUCCGCCCACAGGCCGCCGCACCGUGGAUGUGCGUACCGCAGGCCGAGACGGUGGCCGCAGACGGGCAGCAUUACAUCGAUGUUGACCGCCUUCCUGUCGCGCUGCCGCUACGCGGCAGUCUACCGGGCCCCGCGGCGCCGCACUGGAUUCCAUCGACGGAGCCGUCAGCCACCGCGAGCGCCGGCACUGUCUCUGGCAGCGGUGGUGGCACUGGCACACUGAAUGUGCACCUCCAUCUCACCCGGAGCAGCGCGCACUCCUCCCGCUCCACCAGUGAGAAGAGCAGCAUGGCUGGGCUCCCGGCAGCGGUCUCGGCGGCGGCGGCAAGCUCAACCGGCGGUGUUGGAGGCGGUAGCCGCUGGCAGAGCACAACAUCUUGGGAUGCGCUGCAGCAGCAUCAGCGGCGAUUAGCCUCCUCCCUUAUCCACAGCGACGCCGCUCCCAGCAAGGGUGCUGGCUCCAGUGGGCUGCUGGAUGGCCGUGUGAGCGCGCUCCUCUGGACGUCGGGGCUGAUAGUGCCGUCAGCGACUGUCGGCGGCGGCAGCGGUAUCCCGGGAAGUGGCCGCGUGAGUGGUGGCUCAGCCGGUAGUAGUGGUGGAGGCGGUGGCGCUGCCGGUGGAAACGCGAACGGCGGCGGUGGGGCAGUGGUCGGGAUCAAUGGGCCGCCGACCGCCUCGUCGCCGCCGCCCUCAGCGCGGACACCGAAGCGCAGCUACUCUCGCUGAGGGCAGUGCGUGAGCACAAGCACUUUAUGAGUUGUGCGACGUGCCCUCGUUGAGUGUACGCGUGUGCACGCGUGCGUCUCUCUCUCUGUAUGCCUUGGAAUUUAAUGGCCAGCCGCGACACGGAAGCGAGCGGCACACAAGCGGCGCAACAG